UAUAUAUUAGCAUAGAGAGAGUGUCAUUCAGAGCGAAGUGACGACACCAUCUUUUUUAUUUGGAUUAGUGCUGUUUCACUCUUACGCAUAGUAAAGCUGCUACAGUUUUCCUCCUCUUCCGUGCCUAUAUUCACACUGAAUGUCAUCAUAUAUUUUCGAUACAAUGUGUUAGAAAGAGAUGCAGCAAACCAGUCCAUGAGAUCUUGUCGUCAGGAAGCGCGGAAGGUAGGCUCCCUCUAUGUUAAUAUAUACCUCUAUGGUUCCAUUUGUUUAUUUUUUUAUUCUUUGUUUAUAUAAUUUAUAACCUAGACUCUAGACAGUUUUGUUUUUAAAUAAAACUGAAACUGUGUCUAAGCUAAAAUGGAUAAUAUUCUUGAAGAAUUUUUGUUUGGGGACGAAAUUAGCAAAUGCCGUUAUACAUUUAGCAGAUGUACCUGCCUCACAAUUAUUCCAGAAGGAUGAGAUGAAAUUAAAUAUAUAUAAACCAUAAUUCAAUAUCCAAUUUAGAGAACAUUUUCGUAUGUCCAGAACUACUUUCCAGGAACUAUUUAAUUGUAUUGGUCAUAUCCACCAAUUUGAAAACAGAAUAAUUCUAUUGGAAAAAAUUAAUGUUUAUGAUGUGGAUGCUAAGUAAACCAGAGAAUUUGUUGCUGGGGAUACGUUUGGUUUGCCAAAGAGCUCUGGACAUAAGAUUUUCACCCAAAUAAUAUAGAAUUACAAAAAAUUGGAAAUAACUAAUCUUGAAUAUCAAUGUGUAUAUUGAGUUUAAUUUUAUUGUAAAUAUUCUAUAAUAUAAUUUUAUUGUAAAUAUUGUAUUAACACAUUUGUGGACACAUCUUCAUAUGCAGACAGUAAUUUCCCUUUGUAAGUACAUGCAUAUUAGUCGUAUCUGCGAAUGGGUUAAUUGUAAAUCGUAAUCAAUAAAAAUUUUUUGUGAAUCAAUAAAAAACUGGUUUGUUUGAAAAUAAAUGUAGUACAAAUGUG
Long non-coding RNA from Diabrotica virgifera virgifera (western corn rootworm), 984 nucleotides. RefSeq lists it as uncharacterized. The transcript is spliced from 2 exons. NCBI's taxonomy places the organism in Eukaryota, Metazoa, Arthropoda, Insecta, Coleoptera, Chrysomelidae. The record is from RefSeq and is a predicted model, not a curated record.